Molecule: ribosomal RNA, 113 nt
Filed under: Transversotrema atkinsoni
Lineage: Eukaryota; Metazoa; Platyhelminthes; Trematoda; Azygiida; Transversotrematidae
Also listed under: 6 other names
Description: partial 5.8S ribosomal RNA
Rfam family: 5.8S ribosomal RNA
About the family: 5.8S ribosomal RNA (5.8S rRNA) is a component of the large subunit of the eukaryotic ribosome.
Source: RNAcentral
AGAGCGCAGCAAACUGUGUGAAUUAAUGUGAACUGCAACCUGCCAUGAACAUCGACAACUUGAUUGCACAUUGCGGCCAUGGGUUAGCCUGUGGCCACGCCUGUCCGAGAGUC